Molecule: long non-coding RNA, 664 nt
Filed under: Fragaria vesca (wild strawberry)
Lineage: Eukaryota; Viridiplantae; Streptophyta; Magnoliopsida; Rosales; Rosaceae
Description: long non-coding RNA (FVES_LNC003503)
Source: RNAcentral
ACUCUUUCUUCUUCAUCUUUGAUAUGAAAUUCUCUCUUCUUCCUCCCUCAUCUCAACCCAGAAUAUGCCUUUUACAAUCCCUUAAGGUCUCCCAUAAUACCGUUCUUGUUUCAUCAUCAUCAUAAGACUGGUAUCUUGAAGGUAUUUUUCAGGUUUCUUUCUCUUUAUUUUGGGGUAUUUCUUAUUUUCUUAUAUUUUUAGUUGGUGAAUGGUCUCUAUAAUCAUGGACAUAGAGUAUUAUGUUGAUAAUUUCAUCUUAAUUGGAUAUAUAUAAACAAGUAGGAUUUUGAUAUGUAACCCUAGCCUUUUACUGAUUAACAGAACCACUGGGAUUACAACACGUGUCACCAUCCUGCUCUCCAUGAAAACCUAACACUGACUAAGGGGGAUAUUGGCUUGCUGAUCACCGGCCAUGUACUGAUAUAGUAGAUAUGGCUUUGCACUUUUUUAGAUAGCUUGGAAAUUAAGAAAUCCAAGCGCAACCACAUAGCUUAGGGAUCGUUUUCUCCUACUCCUACUGGGUUUAUCAUCUUUUGAAAUUUUUCUAAAAUCUUUAACCUACUAAAGGAACUGUGAGGGCUUGGGAUUAACUACUCGAGAAACUUUCGAUACUAAUCUUUUUGUGUACUUGAUAUCUUAACUUUAAAAGCCUGAUCAAAUACCC